UCUUGCGCAAUGGGCGAAAGCCUGACGCAGCAACGCCGCGUGGGGGAUGAAGGCUCUCGGGUUGUAAAGCUCUUUCGGUGGGGACGAAAAGGUCCGUGUUAACACCACGGAUCCAUGACGGUACCCGCAGAAGAAGCACCGGCUAACUACGUGCCAGCAGCCGCGGUAAUACGUAGGGUGCAGGCGUUAAUCGGAAUUACUGGGCGUAAAGCGUGCGCAGGCGGUCUUUUAAGUCAGAUGUGAAAUCCCCGGGCUUAACCUGGGAACUGCGUUUGAAACUGGAAGGCUAGAGUGUGGCAGAGGGGGGUGGAAUUCCACGUGUAGCAGUGAAAUGCGUAGAGAUGUGGAGGAACACCGAUGGCGAAGGCAGCCCCCUGGGCUAACACUGACGCUCAUGCACGAAAGCGUGGGGAGC
This 415-nucleotide ribosomal RNA is filed under the name uncultured bacterium. Its description in RNAcentral is "bacterial SSU rRNA". It matches the Rfam family "Bacterial small subunit ribosomal RNA", at positions 362 to 769 of the family's 1533-position model. The record is from RNAcentral.